RNAcentral lists this long non-coding RNA (563 nucleotides) under Cyanistes caeruleus (blue tit). RNAcentral describes it as "lncRNA (ENSCCEG00000022721.1)". The record is from RNAcentral. Lineage: Eukaryota; Metazoa; Chordata; Aves; Passeriformes; Paridae.
GGUGGAAGAAUCUUGAAGGGCAUGCAAGCAUACCAGCCUUUUGGAAGAAGUCCAUUGUCUCCAUCACUGAUGUCUUGUGACAUGAGGUCAGUGUACAAGAAGGCAAUUCUGGAGCCCUCAUUACUCCAGAAGAACUCAUUCAAGGCAGUUUUGUGUCCUUUUAAAAAUCCUGUCAGGCUUUUGCCUUCACUAAACAUCAGCAACUGCAUGACUCGGGAGUACCACCAAGCACCAGAGCAGAGGACUAAAUGGGCUCCUUGGCAUCUCUGCAAGGUGCCCCCUUUGUCUGCAGUCAUACACUCACCUCCUGAGGAUGCUGCAGCUUCCUCCAGCCAGGGCUGUGCAGCCAAGAAGAAGGUGGACUGAUCAUGGACUGGGUGUGUAGACUUUACAGAAAGCCCAGGAGAAACCCUGGACUAUGGCAGUCUAAGUACCUGUCUAUCAAGUACCUGUCAACUAACCAGCCAAAACCCACUUUCAAAAGAUGUUUUCCUUAUGGAAUUCUACACCCUGAAGACAAUGACAUAUGUGAUAACAGCAAUAAAAGAAUUCAUAUCACACCA